This 549-nucleotide RNase P RNA is filed under the name Deltaproteobacteria bacterium. RNAcentral describes it as "RNase P RNA component class A". It matches the Rfam family "Bacterial RNase P class A". Rfam says of the family: Ribonuclease P (RNase P) is a ubiquitous endoribonuclease, found in archaea, bacteria and eukarya as well as chloroplasts and mitochondria. Lineage: Bacteria; Pseudomonadati; Myxococcota; Myxococcia. The record is from RNAcentral.
GGAAGGGGAGGAGAUGGCCGCUCCUCAUCAUCGCCCGUAAGGGGAGAUGAUCGGGGGGAGGAAAGUCCGAGCUCCGCAGGGCAGGGUGGUCCGUAACGCGGACGGUCCUAUCUCCAAAGAGAUGGGAUAAGGAAAGUGCCACAGAAAAAAUACCACCUACCCCGCUAAGAGCGGGGAGUUGUGAGUUAUGAGUGAAGAGUUAAGAGUUUUAUUACUUUUAACUCCGAACUUUGAACUCCGAACUUCGAGGCGUGAACCUCGGUGGGUAAGGGUGAAAAGGCGAGGUAAGAGCUCACCAGUGCACUGAGUGAUCGGAGCAGCUUGGCAAACCCCACCCGGAGCAAGACCAAAUAGGUCCCGUUUCUCCCACGAUAUGCGGGGAGAUAAGAAAAGCCCAUUCAAAUUUAUUCCGUAAACGGAGUAAAGACGGGACGGGUAAGGUCGCUUGAGGCCCUGAGCAAUCAGGAUCCCAGAUAAAUGGCCAUCAUUCCGGUCCCGCCUGUCGGCGGGAUCGAAAUACAGAACUCGGCUUACGGUCCCCUUCGCGAU